Molecule: ribosomal RNA, 253 nt
Filed under: uncultured bacterium
Lineage: Bacteria
Description: partial 16S ribosomal RNA
Rfam family: Bacterial small subunit ribosomal RNA
Source: RNAcentral
GACGUAGGGCGCGAGCGUUGUCCGGAUUUAUUGGGCGUAAAGAGCUCGUAGGCGGCUCGUUGCGUCGGCUGUGAAAACCCGCAGCUCAACUGUGGGCUUGCAGCCGAUACGGGCGGGCUAGGAUUCGGUAGGGGAGACUGGAAUUCCUGGUGUAGCGGUGAAAUGCGCAGAUAUCAGGAGGAACACCGGUGGCGAAGGCGGCAUCCUGGACCGGUAUUGACGCUGAGGCGCGAAAGCUAGGGGAGCAAACGGG